This 420-nucleotide ribosomal RNA is filed under the name uncultured bacterium. Its description in RNAcentral is "partial 16S ribosomal RNA". It matches the Rfam family "Bacterial small subunit ribosomal RNA", at positions 360 to 772 of the family's 1533-position model. The record is from RNAcentral.
AAUUUUGGACAAUGGGGGAAACCCUGAUCCAGCCAUCCCGCUUGUGGGAUGAAGGCCUUCGGGUUUUAAAGCACUGUUGACAGGGAAGUAAUGGUAGAGGCUAAUAACCUCUGCAGAUGACGGUACCUGUAGAAUAAUCACCGGCUAACUACGUGCCAGCAGCCGCGGUAAUACGUAGGGUGCAAGCGUUAAUCGGAAUUACUGGGCGUAAAGGGUACGCAGGCGGCUAGGAAAGAAAGAUGUGAAAUCCCAGGGCUCAACCUUGGAACUGCAUUUUUAACUACCUGGCUAGAGUAUGUCAGAGGGGGGUAGAAUUCCACGUGUAGCAGUGAAAUGCGUAGAGAUGUGGAGGAAUACCGAUGGCGAAGGCAGCCCCCUGGGAUAAUACUGACGCUCAGGUACGAAAGCGUGGGGAGCAAA